GACGAAGGGGGCUAGCGUUGUUCGGAAUUACUGGGCGUAAAGCGCGUGUAGGCGGUUGUCCAAGUUGGAUGUGAAAGCCUUGAGCUUAACUCAAGAAAUGCAUUCAGGACUGGAUGGCUAGAGGACCGGGGAGGAUAGUGGAAUUCCCAGUGUAGUGGUGAAAUACGUAGAGAUUGGGAAGAACACCAGUGGCGAAGGCGGCUAUCUGGACGGUUUCUGACGCUAAGACGCGAAAGCGUGGGGAGCAAACAGG
This 253-nucleotide ribosomal RNA is filed under the name uncultured bacterium. Its description in RNAcentral is "partial 16S ribosomal RNA". It matches the Rfam family "Bacterial small subunit ribosomal RNA", at positions 524 to 776 of the family's 1533-position model. The record is from RNAcentral.